This 1096-nucleotide ribosomal RNA is filed under the name uncultured bacterium. RNAcentral's name for it is "bacterial SSU rRNA". It matches the Rfam family "Bacterial small subunit ribosomal RNA", at positions 35 to 1137 of the family's 1533-position model. RNAcentral also lists the same sequence under 1 other name. The record is from RNAcentral.
CCUAGGGUACGCUGAUACAUGCAGUGGAACGAUACCAGAGAGCUUGCUUUCUGGGAAGUGGCGCACGGGUGAGUAACGCGUAUGCAACCUACCUUAAUCAGGGGGAUAGCCUCUCGAAAGAGAGAUUAACACCGCAUAAGAUCACAAGCUGGCAUCAGCAAAUGAUCAAAUAUUUAUAGGAUUAAGAUGGGCAUGCGUGACAUUAGCUAGUUGGUAAGGUAACGGCUUACCAAGGCUACGAUGUCUAGGGGAUCUGAGAGGAUGACCCCCCACACUGGUACUGAGACACGGACCAAACUCAUACGGGAGGCAGCAGUAAGGAAUAUUGGUCAAUGGGGGCAACCCUGAACCAGCCAUGCCGCGUGCAGGAAGACGGCCCUACGGGUUGUAAACUGCUUUUAUACGGGAAUAAACCUCUUUACGUGUAGAGAGUUGAAUGUACUGUAAGAAUAAGGAUCGGCUAACUCCGUGCCAGCAGCCGCGGUAAUACGGGGGGUCCAAGCGUUAUCCGGAUUUAUUGGGUUUAAAGGGUGCGUAGGCGGCCUAUUAAGUCAGGGGUGAAAGACGGUAGCUCAACCAUCGCAGUGCCUUUGAUACUGAUAGGCUUGAUCACACUUGAGGUAGGCGGGAUGUGACAAGUAGCGGUGAAAUGCAUAGAUAUGUCACAGAACACCAGUUGCGAAGGCAGCUUACUAAGGUGUUAGUGACGCUGAGGCACGAAAGCGUGGGGAUCAAACAGGAUUAGAUACCCUGGUAGUCCACGCCCUAAACGAUGAAUACUCGAUGUUAGCGAUAUACAGUUAGCGUCAAAGCGAAAGCGUUAAGUAUUCCACCUGGGGAGUACGCCCGCAAGGGUGAAACUCAAAGGAAUUGACGGGGGCCCGCACAAGCGGAGGAGCAUGUGGUUUAAUUCGAUGAUACGCGAGGAACCUUACCCGGGCUUGAAAGUUACUGAAGUAUCCAGAGGUGAAUGCGUCCGCAAGGACAGGAAACUAGGUGCUGCAUGGCUGUCGUCAGCUCGUGCCGCGAGGUGUUGGGUUAAGUCCCGCAACGAGCGCAACCCCUAUGUUUAGUUGCCAGCAUGUUAAGGUGGGGA